AGCAGAUACAACAUAGGAUGGGAUGUUACAGAAAAAAAGAUGGGCAAAUUGAAAACACUCCUUUUGGGGACUGUGAAUUAUGAAAACAGAUCAUAGGAGCUAAUCCAAGCACCUGUGUUUGUCACAUACAUGUUCAUGUCAAGGGCCCACUGUCUGAUAAGACUGAUUGGAGUCAAGCUGUUGGUGAAGCCUGUACUUUCCUGAUGGACACCACUGCCGCCUGAGUGCAUCACUGGAUUAGACCUACUACCAAGGAAUGGGCAGCUUUGCUGCCUUUUGCCCACCAUGAACUACUUCU
Molecule: long non-coding RNA, 298 nt
Organism: Fukomys damarensis (Damara mole-rat)
Lineage: Eukaryota; Metazoa; Chordata; Mammalia; Rodentia; Bathyergidae
Exons: 3
Source: RefSeq, a predicted model, not a curated record